This 253-nucleotide ribosomal RNA is filed under the name uncultured bacterium. Its description in RNAcentral is "partial 16S ribosomal RNA". It matches the Rfam family "Bacterial small subunit ribosomal RNA", at positions 524 to 776 of the family's 1533-position model. The record is from RNAcentral.
UACGGAGGGUGCAAGCGUUAUCCGGAUUUACUGGGUUUAAAGGGUGCGUAGGCGGGUUGAUAAGUCAGGGGUGAAACCUCCGAGCUUAACUCGGAAAUUGCCUUUGAUACUAUCAGUCUUGAAUUCAGUUGAGGUGGGCGGAAUGUGUCGUGUAGCGGUGAAAUGCUUAGAUAUGACACAGAACACCAAUUGCGAAGGCAGCUCGCUAAACUGACAUUGACGCUGAGGCACGAAAGCGUGGGGAGCAAACAGG